RNAcentral lists this transfer RNA (82 nucleotides) under Centruroides sculpturatus (bark scorpion). Its description in RNAcentral is "tRNA-Leu". It matches the Rfam family "tRNA". From Rfam's summary of the family: Transfer RNA (tRNA) molecules are approximately 80 nucleotides in length. Their secondary structure includes four short double-helical elements and three loops (D, anti-codon, and T loops). Further hydrogen bonds mediate the characteristic L-shaped molecular structure. tRNAs have two regions of fundamental functional importance: the anti-codon, which is responsible for specific mRNA codon recognition, and the 3' end, to which the tRNAs corresponding amino acid is attached (by aminoacyl-tRNA synthetases). tRNAs cope with the degeneracy of the genetic code in two manners: having more than one tRNA (with a specific anti-codon) for a particular amino acid; and 'wobble' base-pairing, i.e. permitting non-standard base-pairing at the 3rd anti-codon position. Lineage: Eukaryota; Metazoa; Arthropoda; Arachnida; Scorpiones; Buthidae. The record is from RNAcentral.
GGUAGGGUGGCCGAGCGGUCUAAGGCGCUGGUUUUAGGCACCAGUCUCUUCGGAGGCGCGGGUUCGAAUCCCGCCCCUGCCA